RNAcentral lists this ribosomal RNA (425 nucleotides) under uncultured bacterium. RNAcentral describes it as "partial 16S ribosomal RNA". It matches the Rfam family "Bacterial small subunit ribosomal RNA", at positions 354 to 796 of the family's 1533-position model. The record is from RNAcentral.
GUGGGGAAUCUUGCGCAAUGGGCGAAAGCCUGACGCAGCCAUGCCGCGUGAAUGAUGAAGGUCUUAGGAUUGUAAAAUUCUUUCACCGGGGACGAUAAUGACGGUACCCGGAGAAGAAGCCCCGGCUAACUUCGUGCCAGCAGCCGCGGUAAUACGAAGGGGGCUAGCGUUGCUCGGAAUUACUGGGCGUAAAGGGAGCGUAGGCGGACAUUUAAGUUAGGGGUGAAAUCCCGAGGCUCAACCUCGGAACUGCCUUUGAUACUGGGUGUCUUGAGUGUGAGAGAGGUGAGUGGAACGCCGAGUGUAGAGGUGAAAUUCGUAGAUAUUCGGAAGAACACCAGUGGCGAAGGCGACUCACUGGCCCAAUACUGACGCUGAGGCGCGAAAGCGUGGGGAGCAAACAGGAUUAGAUACCCGAGUAGUCC